This 498-nucleotide ribosomal RNA is filed under the name uncultured bacterium. Its description in RNAcentral is "partial 16S ribosomal RNA". It matches the Rfam family "Bacterial small subunit ribosomal RNA", at positions 28 to 523 of the family's 1533-position model. The record is from RNAcentral.
GAUGAACGCUAGCGGCAGGCCUAAUACAUGCAAGUCGAGGGAGAAUGUCGGAUUCGUCUGACAUGAAACCGGCGCACGGGUGCGUAACACGUAUGCAACCUACCUUUAACUGGGGUAUAGCUCAGAGAAAUCUGAAUUAAUCCCCCAUAAGACUACGACAUGGCAUCAUGAUGUAGUUAAAGCUCCGGCGGUUAAGGAUGGGCAUGCGGUACAUUAGCUAGUUGGUGAGGUAAUGGCUCACCAAGGCUACGAUGUAUAGGGGGUCUGAGAGGGUGAUCCCCCACACUGGAACUGAGACACGGACCAGACUCCUACGGGAGGCAGCAGUAGGGAAUAUUGGUCAAUGGACGCAAGUCUGAACCAGCCAUGCCGCGUGAAGGAUGAAGGCCCUAUGGGUCGUAAACUUCUUUUAUUAGGGAAGAAAAAACGGGAUGCGUCCUGUACUGACGGUACUUAAUGAAUAAGGAUCGGCUAACUUCGUGCCAGCCGCCGCGGUAA